AUUCCAUCGAUACCAAAACAUCAAAAUACCGCCAUCUAGUUUUUUUUCUCUACAACCUAAUACACUAUUUAUUUUAUCAAAUAUGUCUAACUACUACUUCUACUUCAACUAUUUUCCUACCCUCUGUAACUACUUAAGUCGAAAAUAAUGUUACUUGGUAACUAAAAAUAUUUCUGAGAUAUUACAACUCUCCCUCACAACCCCUAUUUGAAAAACACGGUGUCCAUAUCCUUUAUUCUUUCCUAUUCUAGGCUGUUUGUGUAAAUGUUCCUUACCUGUCUAACUGUCAAAUUUAUAAAAAAAAACUAAACUGCCACUGUCAAUGUCAACCUGACAUAACCUUAACCCUUUUUUUUUUCGGCACUAAACAAAACAAAAGCAUGCGUCGUUGUGUUCAACAACAUCGAUCGCACGAAGAAAUCUAAAGUUUACCCGAUUAAACUUACGAAACUCUAAAAUAAUGAGUGAAUCUCACAGGACCAAACAUAACAAUGCAAAACCAACUACACUCUUUGUUGAACUAAAACCCAUGAUAAACCACUGAUCAAACCAUCCACUGUGACAAAACAUUCACAAUCCCUCACUAAUUAUAUACCAAAGUUACUAUUCUACAAUAAGAUAUGACAUACUUUGUGAAUGCUGAUGAUGAUGAUGUUCUAUAUUUGACAACCAAACUCUGAGACUAUAUACUAUGAAGUAAACAUCCUGACUCAGAUGAAGAAGUGUAUUGCAACUGCGCUCAAAAUAGGAACAACUAAACUACCCACAUAGUUCUUAACUUACAAACAAUAUAUUGAUACUAAAUGAGGUCCUAGCCUACUUCACCUGGUCUAACACUUUAUCAACAACAGUAACUUGCUACACAUUAAUUGUUUUCUAAAUUUAUUGUUAUAUCUUAUCGCUAUCUUUUCAUCAUAUAUUUCUUUAAAAAUUUUUUUUUCAAAUGAGAUUAUUGUUAUAUUUUCUUUUCUUUAUUAACUGUAAUACAUACUUGUAUUUGUUUAGGAAAAUGUCUGAUAAUAUCUGCUACUAAUUGGCUCUCUGAAAUCUGAUAAUAAGACAUUUGGGCUUUUCCGGUUACUCUAAGUUAGGAUGUUAGCAUAGAUAGUGUUACAGUUCUAUCCCAACUCCUAUGAUCUAUGUUGUAUAAUAUAUUAUCUACUCUUUCAAACAUUCAAGUAUAGUAAUUUUAGAGCCUAGUUUUUAAGCACCUAGUCGAUGACAAGCAAAGAUCCGAUCCAGAAGCACAAUCAACCACAUCAACAAACCAAAGAACCCGCACAACAAAACUCAUACAAUCAAUACCAAACCGAACCAACCCAGCCAAAAGGAUGAUUAAUAAUUAUAGACUAGUUGCUAUAACUACCGAUCCCCCCCCAACCAGGCCAGUCCAAUCCAGCACCAACCAUACAAGCCCCGCCACGCAAACUCCUCGAUCCACCGAUGCAGCCAACCGCACCCCCAGACCAAAAUCCCCACCCCUCAUCUACCUGGGCCAGAAUGUCUAUAUCUAUUUUAAUC
This is a long non-coding RNA of Plutella xylostella (diamondback moth), 1521 nucleotides long. RefSeq lists it as uncharacterized. Lineage: Eukaryota; Metazoa; Arthropoda; Insecta; Lepidoptera; Plutellidae. The record is from RefSeq and is a predicted model, not a curated record.